AUUUACAUAUUCAAGUUAAUUUAAGUUGUAGUUUUUCGUUUUUAAGUGACGGCUGAAGAGGACUUUAGUUGGUCCUAGAACUACCUGAGGUAGAGGGGUUUUAGUCGGUAGGUCCGAGGACUUCUUCCUUGGGAAUCCGACACUACCUAUUCGUACGGACGGCUGGGUGUCUUUUGAAGAUUUCCCCUCUUCCACGAAC
This is a non-coding RNA of Agrilus planipennis (emerald ash borer), 199 nucleotides long. The record is from Rfam. NCBI's taxonomy places the organism in Eukaryota, Metazoa, Arthropoda, Insecta, Coleoptera, Buprestidae.